Rosa chinensis is the source of this 442-nucleotide long non-coding RNA. RefSeq lists it as uncharacterized. The transcript has 2 exons. NCBI's taxonomy places the organism in Eukaryota, Viridiplantae, Streptophyta, Magnoliopsida, Rosales, Rosaceae. The record is from RefSeq and is a predicted model, not a curated record.
CCUAUAAAAAACACAAACCCGGAACGUACAGAAACGGCUUCUGUAAAACCAGAACUCUCCUUCGGGAGGCGGAGGAGGAAGAAGCUGCCGGAGGGUCUGCAUUUUAGCCUUCUGAUGACCCUCUGCUCAUUAGUCAAGAGUUUGCCUGAGACAAAGGACCAGAGGAAUAUUUUGAGCUUAGGCGGGAUCGGAAGAGACCAGUUACUCAACCAUCCAUAGUUUUGAUAUCCUUGAUCAUCACACAGAAGCUUGUAAGCAGAUUUAAAAGAGAAAAUGCCAGAAGAGGUACUUCCCCAAAUUAGCUUAUCCGGCAAAUCACUAAUAGCUAAAGGAACAACAGUGAUUUUAUCAACAAUGUCAUCAGGUAGAUUAGCAUGUAACAUAGGUAUGUUCCAAUCAUUAUUGAUCCAAAAAUCCUGCACAAGAGAAUUAAUAUCAACAA